Molecule: long non-coding RNA, 300 nt
Organism: Ornithodoros turicata
Lineage: Eukaryota; Metazoa; Arthropoda; Arachnida; Ixodida; Argasidae
Exons: 3
Source: RefSeq, a predicted model, not a curated record
AAGAAGUAGGGAGGAAGAAGCAGUUUCCGGCACCGCUAUCGCCAGCCGUACGCAUCCCAGAAAUGGGACCUGCCGGAAGAAGAUGACAUCCGCUAAUGUGGUCCCACAUGUUGAUAUCGCUGACUCUUUCGGACUCCUGAAGCCAAGCGAUGGGGUCUUCGCCUCGCUUACCAGUGAAGGCCGCCAACGGAAGAGGAGGUCAGCUCCUGAAAGUCAUUUGGAACUAGAAGUGUCUGCAACUCCGAUGCUGGUGAAUAUCUCCUGACAUCCCGCUGUUGGACUCAAAACGAGCAGGAGGAA